AAAGGGUGCGUAGGCGGCCUGUUAAGUCAGAGGUGAAAGACGGUAGCUCAACUAUCGCAGUGCCUUUGAUACUGAUGGGCUUGAAUGGACUAGAGGUAGGCGGAAUGAGACAAGUAGCGGUGAAAUGCAUAGAUAUGUCUCAGAACACCGAUUGCGAAGGCAGCUUACUAUGGUUUUAUUGACGCUGAGGCACGAAAGCGUGGGGAUCAAACAGGAUUAGAUACCCCUGU
Molecule: ribosomal RNA, 230 nt
Filed under: uncultured bacterium
Lineage: Bacteria
Description: partial 16S ribosomal RNA
Rfam family: Bacterial small subunit ribosomal RNA
Source: RNAcentral